CGAAGAACGAGCCCCUGGGCAUGAUGUGAGCCUUAAUAAAGGAGCAGAAAUCAGACCAAAAACAAACUGAAUGAGGACAACUCCAAAAUAAAUGAUAAAAUGUUUCAUCAUGUAGACCACAAAAUGUACAAAAUGUAUCAAUAUCACAAUUAAAUCUGGUCACAAGA
Molecule: non-coding RNA, 167 nt
Organism: Pimephales promelas (fathead minnow)
Lineage: Eukaryota; Metazoa; Chordata; Actinopteri; Cypriniformes; Leuciscidae
Source: RefSeq, a predicted model, not a curated record